RNAcentral lists this long non-coding RNA (327 nucleotides) under Phoenix dactylifera (date palm). RNAcentral's name for it is "long non-coding RNA (PDAC_LNC012425)". Lineage: Eukaryota; Viridiplantae; Streptophyta; Magnoliopsida; Arecales; Arecaceae. The record is from RNAcentral.
CCAGCAACCCGUUUCAAGCAUCCUCCCAGCAUCCCGCGGCAAUCUUCUUCAGCAAUCCCGUGUCCGUGCAACCUCCCGAGAUCCCCCUUCUACCAGCUCCUCCGCAUCUCAUCCCAGCUUUCUCCUCCGUUCCAACGAUCGUGAGCAUCCCGCCGCAUCAUCCUCUCCCGUUUCUCGCCAUCAAGGAGCCACCGACCCCCUCCUCCGUGAUCUGCCCAGCAGCACGCGGCCGUUCGAAGAUCCAAUCCCAGUGAUCACGCGAUGCAUUCUCAGCUCCCCUCCGUGUCCGCCUCUUCCGCCUUCUCAGUCUCCCGCGCACAAUCCCAG